UUCAUGGGAAAAAGUCACCUAGGCAAAUUGAUUGUAAUUUGUGAAGCUUCCAGACUAGAAAAGUUUAUAUAGAAGUCUUCGAGUCAGUUGUUAGAGCUGAAAAGAAAUGCAGACCAUCAGAAUUGAAAAGGAUUCAUGCCAGUAGACUGGAAAAGGAGUUUUAAAACUGCCUCAACAAUUCAAAGAAAACUUGAAUAAGUCAGUUGAAUGAGUUAACAGGUCCACAAACAGGGUUGGUGAACUAACCAACCUGUUUAUUGGCUGAUGGAGACACAGAGCACUCCAGAGGCAGGCACCUGAAGGUGAAUGCUUGACAUGAGGCGAGAGAGAUAGGAACCAAUUCUUGAUUUGGAAUUGACUCCUUAUAGAGGACACCACACCCUCUGGGAGGUUGACACGAAUCUCUGGAUGUCACAUAGAAGACAUAGAAAAUAUGAGCAGGAGUGUCCGCACCAGUCAGUGUGAUCGUGGCUAACCAUCCACCUCAGUACCCUGUUCCUGCUUUCUUACAGUUCAUUUUGCAUCAUUUAGCUCUAAGAACAAUAUCUAACUCCUCUUGAAAACAUUCACCGUUCUGGCUGUUCCAGUAGUUAAUGCUCACAUCAGUCUGUUAAAAAUCUAAUUGGUGACACCACAAACAUAUACCAGGCUUAGGUAGGACUGCCUCUCAUUCAAAUUUCCUUCAAAACCUGGUUCAGAAAGAAAUCUUGAAUUUGCUGGAAAAAUGAAUACCAACCUUAUCUCACUGUGCUUUUGGCAACUUUCAAAGUAAUUCCGCAACUUCAGCCAACUGCAACAAAGUGAUCUCGGAAGGAACCUAACCACACGCUUUAACAAAUAGAAGGAAAUGUCCCACGUGUGGGUCAAACUGCAAAGGUUACACAAAGCUUAACUACUUGGGAAAAAAAAAUGCACAGUAGAAGGAAAAUGCUAAAAGAGUUACCAGACGCAGAAAAGCAGCGAAAAUGGACACAAAAAGAAUGAACAAAUGUCCAUAAUCUGGGAAAUGAUGAUGAGAUUUUGGUUAUCGUAGACAUAGAAACCAUACAAUAGCAUGAAAUGCUUCACCACUCAGAUCCGCAAGAAUAUGAGAAAAGUUUCAGAACUGUAAAUCUGAAUCCACUGCAUGAUAAUAAGCACAAAGCAUCAUUCUCAACCUCAGAGUGUGCGAUU
Hemiscyllium ocellatum (epaulette shark) is the source of this 1173-nucleotide long non-coding RNA. RefSeq lists it as uncharacterized. The transcript is spliced from 3 exons. The record is from RefSeq and is a predicted model, not a curated record. Lineage: Eukaryota; Metazoa; Chordata; Chondrichthyes; Orectolobiformes; Hemiscylliidae.